RNAcentral lists this long non-coding RNA (449 nucleotides) under Bos taurus (domestic cattle). RNAcentral describes it as "long non-coding RNA NONBTAT025459". The record is from RNAcentral. Lineage: Eukaryota; Metazoa; Chordata; Mammalia; Artiodactyla; Bovidae.
AUGUGGCAAUUCAUUAGAUGAUACAAACCUCAUGCUUUCUAAUAAUGGUAGGAAUAUUUUUAUUUCCCAUUUUACCUGUCUGCCUACCUAACUUAAAGAUUUGUAUGACCAAAGAAAUAAAUGAGUAUUUCCCCAUCUUCCUUGGGAAAUUUUAGUUAAAACUAUUAUUGAGAAUUUACAGAUUUGGCGUAUUAUUUUUAGAUGCAUAAUAUUAAUGUCCCAAUCACUACAGGUCAACAUUUAGAUGUGUUACACAGAGUUUUUUUGACAUAGUAUGCUGAAUAUAAUGGGCUGGCUUUUUCUAAACUGUAAUUGCCUGAUAUAGGGUAAUAUGACACAGGGCUGGUAUGACACUCAAUAUGAAAGACAGGAUGCAGUAAAGAUUUGCCUUCAGUGUUUAUACAGAAAACUCAUUUAUUCUUUCUUGAUUAUAUUUUAUAGGGCUAGAA